Molecule: ribosomal RNA, 390 nt
Filed under: uncultured bacterium
Lineage: Bacteria
Description: bacterial SSU rRNA
Rfam family: Bacterial small subunit ribosomal RNA
Source: RNAcentral
AUUGAACGCUGGCGGAAUGCUUUACACAUGCAAGUCGAACGGCAGCACGGGGCAACCUGGUGGCGAGUGGCGAACGGGUGAGUAAUAUAUCGGAACGUGCCCAAUCGUGGGGGAUAACGUAGCGAAAGUUACGCUAAUACCGCAUACGAUCUACGGAUGAAAGCGGGGGAUCGCAAGACCUCGCGCGAAUGGAGCGGCCGAUAUCAGAUUAGGUAGUUGGUGGGGUAAAGGCUCACCAAGCCAACGAUCUGUAGCUGGUCUGAGAGGACGACCAGCCACACUGGAACUGAGACACGGUCCAGACUCCUACGGGAGGCAGCAGUGGGGAAUUUUGGACAAUGGGCGCAAGCCUGAUCCAGCCAUUCCGCGUGCAGGAUGAAGGCCUUCGGG